Molecule: ribosomal RNA, 301 nt
Filed under: uncultured bacterium
Lineage: Bacteria
Description: partial 16S ribosomal RNA
Rfam family: Bacterial small subunit ribosomal RNA
Source: RNAcentral
CAGUCGCCACGGUAAUACGUAGGGUGCGAGCGUUAAUCGGAAUUACUGGGCGUAAAGCGUGCGCAGGCGGUUUUGUAAGACAGGCGUGAAAUCCCCGGGCUCAACCUGGGAAUGGCGCUUGUGACUGCAAAGCUAGAGUGCGGCAGAGGGGGAUGGAAUUCCGCGUGUAGCAGUGAAAUGCGUAGAUAUGCGGAGGAACACCGAUGGCGAAGGCAAUCCCCUGGGCCUGCACUGGCGCUCAUGCACGAAAGCGUGGGGAGCAAACAGGAUUAGAUACCCCUGUAGUCCCUGUCUCUUAUAC